CCUGGCUCAGGACGAACGCUGGCGGCGUGCCUAAUACAUGCAAGUCGAACGAGAGCGACCGGUGCUUGCACUGGUUAAUCUAGUGGCGAACGGGUGAGUAACACGUGGGUAACCUGCCCAUCAGAGGGGGAUAACAUCCGGAAACGGAUGCUAAAACCGCAUAGGUCUUCGAGCUGCAUGGCUUGAAGAGGAAAAGAGGCGCAAGCUUCUGCUGAUGGAUGGACCCGCGGUGCAUUAGCUAGUUGGUGAGGUAACGGCUCACCAAGGCCGUGAUGCAUAGCCGACCUGAGAGGGUGAUCGGCACCUUUGUGACUGAGACACGGCCCAAACCCCUCGGA
Molecule: ribosomal RNA, 338 nt
Filed under: uncultured bacterium
Lineage: Bacteria
Description: bacterial SSU rRNA
Rfam family: Bacterial small subunit ribosomal RNA
Source: RNAcentral